Molecule: ribosomal RNA, 375 nt
Filed under: uncultured Gammaproteobacteria bacterium
Lineage: Bacteria; Pseudomonadati; Pseudomonadota; Gammaproteobacteria
Description: bacterial SSU rRNA
Rfam family: Bacterial small subunit ribosomal RNA
Source: RNAcentral
UAAUACGGAGGGUGCAAGCGUUAAUCGGAAUUACUGGGCGUAAAGAGUACGUAGGCGGUUUAUUAAGUCAGAUGUGAAAGCCCAGGGCUCAACCUUGGAACUGCAUUUGAUACUGGUGAACUAGAGUAUGGUAGAGGGGGGUAGAAUUUCUGGUGUAGCGGUGAAAUGCGUAGAUAUCAGAAGGAAUACCAGUGGCGAAGGCGGCCCCCUGGCCCAAUACUGACGCUGAGGUACGAAAGCGUGGGUAGCGAACGGGAUUAGAUACCCCGGUAGUCCACGCCGUAAACGAUGUCAACUAGCCGUUGGGACCUUGAGGUCUCAGUGGUGCAGCUAACGCGUGAAGUUGACCGCCUGGGGAGUACGGCCGCAAGGCUA